ACAACCAUGUCACAGACAAGGAAAGGGGGCUCAGACAAAUGACAAGGUCCACCUCUGCUUUGCUCACUAGAAGGCGAGGGCGAUGCCAAACUAGAAGGUGUUGACAUUCUGCAGUGGAAAGGAUCCUGCCGGCCCCACUGGGCACAGAUGUAAUUACCAAUAUGAAGAUGAAUCUUUCAAGAGACUCAUUUUCUGGACCCAGGAGUGACCAAGACUAUUGUGGUUUCAGCACUGAAAGUACCUGCAUUCUCGGAAGUCCCUCAGUCCUCCGAAACCAGGACAGUUAGUCGCCCCCUCCUGUUUAACACCAGAAUAGAUGCUGAUUAUGCCUAUUUUAAAGAUAAGGAAACAGAGGCUCAGGGAGUUGGAAUAAUUGGCUAAGUGCACACACCUAAUGAGUGAUUAUGGUGAGUUCAAGUCCCAUGGGCUCCAAACCCAUGUUAUCCGUGGGUGCUCUAAACUAGGCAAGAUCCCUACCAGACCAAAAUUUCCAGCAUGUUCUGGUGAAUUUAUUCAGAAGAGCGUGGCAGCUAGAGAACCCCAAGGAGAGGGAGCUUGUCUCUGUGACCAGUGGGGCCGUGGGGAUUCUUCCUUGGCACUGUGGAUGGAGCAGAAGAGAACAGACCUGGCCGUGUGUGUGGGAGCUUGCAGGCUGGUGGGGGAUGCAUAUAUAACACAGAGGUGGGAAAGGGCAAGUGCCCUAAAGAAGAUGUAACCUGCCACCACUGAGUAAAAGAAUCAGUGGUGGGAGGGGCGCUUUCCCAAUAAAGUUGUUGGAGGGACCUCUGUGCAGAGAUGACACGUGAGCAAAACAACGGAAUCGGGUGAGAAUGAUUUUGUGUGAGUACAGUGUUCCAGGCCGAAGAAGCACAGCGCAAACACUCUGAGUCUGAAACAUACUUGGCCUGUGUAAGGAACAGCCAGGGAGCCAGUGAAGCUGGAAAGGAGUGAGAGAGGGAGAGGCUGCUGAGAGCUUAACCCUGGACCUUGCAAGGAGGCUACAGGAGGGUUUAGGGUGGAAGAAAGACACGACUGGGGGCUAGAGGUGACAGAGAUCACCGUGCCCCCCACCCCAGCCUCUCAGCCACAGCAGUAGUGUCUCCAAGGCCCCAGGACUGUGGUCCCUCUGGCCAGACGGCUCAUCAGGGCCGUCGAAGUGCCCUUCCCCUAUGUCUCUGGCCUGGUAGCUCAGCUCCUCUGGUCCGUCUUCCCAAGUCUCAGCGUCACUUCAGGAUCGGAGUCCUUCUGUCGGAUCAUUGAAGUUCUCAGCACUGCCCAGCACUGUACUGGGACCAGAGGGAGCGUGGAGUUUAUUCACCGUGCAUGUCAGGCAUGGGAUAGAAAAGCACACAAGAGAGCCACUCUCCCUGUUCUCUGAGCUGCUUACAUGCAGGGAGAGAGGCCGUCAUUAAACAAACAGACAGACACACAAAAGACUCCACACCUGUAUGCGAAUCAAUACAGCCGUGCGUCCUAGGAGAGAUGAGCUUGGAGAGAUAAACAGUGGUGGAAUCUCCGAGAGCCUUGAAAGCACUGCUGAACAGUGUGGGUGUGAUUUUGAAGGCAAUGAGAAGUCAUCAGUGGAAUGUAAAUGAGGGGCUGACUAAGCAGAUUCACUGGGAGAAAUGGGCCACUUGGAGAGAUACUAAGGAAGCAGAAGUGACGUGAACUGGCGACAGCUUAGAUGGAGCUGGAACUGGCAUGGAUAGAGGGGAAGCUUGAGUAGUGUCCCCCAAAACUGAGUGUCCACCAGGAACCUCAGGAUGUGAAUUUAUUUGGAAAUAGGGUCUUUACAGAUGUAAUCAGCUAAUUCAAGCUGCACUCAUAUGGCCUGGGACUAUUGACCAGUGACCCCUGUCCUUAUAAGAAGAGAAAACAGAGACACAGACACAUGAAGAUCAAGGCCAAGGUGAGGGGGAUGUGUCUACAAGCCAAGGACUGGUGGGGAAUGUCAGCCGUCACUGGAAGCUGGGAGGAGGCAAGGAGCCUCAGGAAGGAACAAUCCUGCCAAUAAUACAGAGGGGAAAGAGGAUGGGGAGAAACCAACAAUGACUCCCGCCCUGUGACGUCCGUGUCCUGGGAGGCCAUGAUGUGGUUUGUUGAGCUAAAGAAUGUGGGAAAAGCCAUCCGGGUUAUUUGCAAAAAAUAAGAUCCAGCGGAUCCAGGAAAGUAAGAGUAAAGAAGAAUCCAGAAUCAGCUGCAUCUGGACUGGAAGCCCAGCCCCCGAGGCUGCACUGUGUGGAGUUGUGUCCUGCUUUCCUGGGCUCUGGGAGGCAGAGGGGAAGCAGCCGUGAGACUGAUGAGCCUGACUUGCGUGGCUAUCCGUGGUCAGCCUGGGACAGCCAGGCUGCACCUGGGAUCUUUGGUGUCUAACUGAAGCUAGCUCUUCUCUUUCCAUGAUUACACACGACAGGGGCCCCAAGUCCAGCUGAGCAUAGUGGGCAAGGGUGGAGGAGACAGGGGAAGACAGCACUGGGGCAAGAUGUGUCAAUGGGGUAGCAAAGGGGUGGCAUUUAGUGGCAACAGAUGGAGAAGGGGCAACUUCAAGGAUCCCCUUGGUCUCUUCCCAUCUUUUCCCUAGAAGCCCCUGCAGCUGCACACUCCCCUUCUCCGUUGCAAAACCGUGGUUCCUCCAGUCCCCAACUAGGCCCUGCAGACUAGAUAACACAAGAGGCAAAUGAGCCUGAGAGACUUCCGGCCAACAUCAGAGGAAUUUCCAUCAACUCUUAGGCAUCAUUUUCUCAUGAUGAAAAUGGGGAGAGAACAGGAGUCCCACUGAGAACGUGGAGCAACACUCUGAAGACCACACUUGAGCAGAAUGGACCUUUCUGAGCCUCGGAGGAAAGAAAAAGUC
This is a long non-coding RNA of Bos taurus (domestic cattle), 2854 nucleotides long. The record is from Ensembl. NCBI's taxonomy places the organism in Eukaryota, Metazoa, Chordata, Mammalia, Artiodactyla, Bovidae.